RNAcentral lists this long non-coding RNA (2850 nucleotides) under Gossypium barbadense (sea-island cotton). RNAcentral describes it as "long non-coding RNA (GBAR_LNC012161)". The record is from RNAcentral. Lineage: Eukaryota; Viridiplantae; Streptophyta; Magnoliopsida; Malvales; Malvaceae.
GAGUUUAAAUAAGAAUGAGUUAGACUUAGUGGUUAAGAAGUAGUGGUAUUGGAUUAUUGUUCGCAAUCCCAUUAUAAGCCAAAUAGGGUAAGCAUUGAUCUCCAAAACCAGAUUCGAAAAGCCACUCUCUUUCCUCUGUUAUGGUCGAACCCUACAGGGUGGUUAAGGACUUAAUUUUAGUUCAUUCUUUGUGUUGGGUACAGAUCUGAAUUGGAUCUAGUUAUAUCUAAAACGUAGGAGUUGCAGAAUAGCAAUAGAGUUUCAGUUUUGCGUUAAUCAAGUGUGGGUCUUACCUUUGGGUGUUUUGGUGAUAAUUGUAAAUUACGUGAUAUGCAUGUUGGUUAAUUGUACAUGUUGAUUUUUGUGCUUAGCCGAAUAGCCUUGUGUUAGAUAAGGGAUUGUCGAUUAUGGUAAGUGCUAAAAGGCGAUAGCCGAAUGUGCAAAGCCUCUAUUUGGGAUUAAUUGAAUGUGUAAGUGUUGAUUGUAAUUACUGAUUGUCUGCUAUGGCUGAGUAUGCAUAGACUGCUAAUGUAUGAUAUGGUAUUGUUAUCACAUGUUUCCCGAAUGCAUGAGAAAAUGCCUACUAUUCUGUAUUUACUGAUUGCAUGUGAAGCAUGCCACUGUUACUGAAUUACUGAUCGUAUGUUAAAACAUGUUACUAUUCUGUAUUGUACCUAUUCUAUCAUGCAUGUUAUGUGAUUCUGAUGUAUAGGGUUGGAAAGAUUGAUGAUUGUGUAGUUCUGGCUGUUUAUUCGCAAAUAUGAGAGUUAUGGCGGAUAAUCCGCAAAUAUUGGAGUUCUGGCAGUAUAGCUGCAACAUUGGAGUAUUCUUUGGAGUUCUAGUAGUUCGUCUGCAAACUUUUUACUGGCGGUUUAACCAUAACUUACUGUCAGUUUAUCUGCAAAUAUUUAUUGUUACUGGUGAUUUAUCGACAAUGAGUUAUAACUCUUAUUGUUAUGGUGUGUACGGAUAGAUGAGUUCUAGAGAACUCAUGGUGUGUAGCGGAUGGAUGGAUAGGAAAUUACACUGACAUCCAUGAACAUGUACAUACAUUCUGAGAACUCUGUGAUUCUGUAUAUUUUGUAACACUGUGAUCUGUGACACUGUUAUUACUAUUAUCUCUAUUUACUUGCAUGCUUUUGUGAUCUUUGGUACACUGAUUUCUUAUGAUUAAGACUCAUACUGAACUUUCAAGCUCACCCAUUUAAUUUACUCCUUACAGAUAACCCUCAAGGUUAGGAUUAGAUUCGUCAUACGGAGGUCUCGUCUCAGAUUUUCAGUUAAUAAAGUAUUUUUAAUUUUACUUUAUUUAUUUUGGUUUUAUUUUUGGGAUUGUAAAUUUUAUUAAUAAUGAACUGUGGUAUGGGUUGUUUUUAUUUGGGAUUUUGCAUGCAUGAAAUUUUUUGUGAAAACCAAACGAAUUUAAUAACUGGCUUAAUAUGAUUUAAAACACGAAUUUUAUUACAAAAUCAAGGACAUCACAUUUUUCCGCUGCAUAGUGAUGAAACGUAAUUUUUAAAUGUUUACUGAUGAAAUCAAUUGAGUUUUUUUUUUUUUUUCAAACAACACGAUUUUCUAAUAAAUUGAACUUAAAUUAUAGACAACCUAACAAUCUGAUGUUCUAAAUAAAUCUAAGGCAACCACGCUAAGUUUUUUUGGAAAUUGAUCAAAAUAGUGAUUUUUUUAAAACGAAACUGAUUUAUUUGACUAGGAUGCUAACUAAUGGCUGUAAAGUCAUUCUGUAAUUUCGUUGACCUGGGUUUGAAUCCUAUUUUGACCUUUGGUUGGAGGCAUUUUGGUGCAGGAGGAGCAGCUAAAUGUAAGAGGCCUAUAGCAUGGAGUAUAGCUUGGUGCUCCGUCAGAAUAACAUAUGGACAUGCUUCUUACCCAGAAGAAGAAAAAGGCAUAUUUGCUUUCUAUUGCCCAUCCCUCUCUCCUCUAUUUUUUUGGCUAAACAGGUUAUUGUCGAUUAACAGCUUUAUUCCUUUAUUUUGACAGGGUUAAGGUAGAAUUCCAUUUACUAAUGACCGUUAUUCCAGGAAUGAGCUAACUUGCCUACAUGCAAAGAUAAUACAUACAGUCUACUUUCUUUGUUUUUCGAUUUAUUUCUCAAGACUUAUUCAAAAAUGGAUCAAUCUCUCUAAAGUUCUGUAUUAUGCUCUUGAAGUUGACUUCAAUACAGAUUCUUCUAAUAAAAUAUUUUAGGAUAUGGGAACCAAAAGGAGAAAAAAGCAGGGUAUUGGGGCAUUCCGAGAAUCGAACUCGGGACCUCUCGCACCCAAAGCGAGAAUCAUACCACUAGACCAAAUGCCCAAUUUUUGGUAUCUUUCAUGUCUGGUUUUUACUUAUCAGAUCUUUUUCUCAUAGGACUCCUAUGAAUCUUCAACGGGGUCAUUCUUGGAAGACCAAAAUCUUCCAAUUUCUCAUUUUUGAUGUGGUUCAAUGUAUCAUUUGCCUUCUACAAUUGGAUGCUAAGGACUUUUGCAUUAGCAACAGGUUACAGAUUCCAUUUAUAUUUUAAUCCCAGACUCCCUGUUUAAAGUUAUUAAUUCAUAGUAUGGAUCCCUUAGAGGCCAAAACAUCUAUGGGUUAUGAAAUUACCAAAUCUUAUAAAUUUCUUUUAACCAUGAAGAGUCUGGCGGCUAAAUCAAUAGUUUGCAUUUAGAAAUUAGAACAUUUUGAAUUAUACUUCAAAAAAAAUUUAAAAAUGAAAUUGCAGAACAACUAGGUAGCUAGUAGAAUAAACCUAAUCACCGUAUAUUGUCCCGAUAAAAUUUUCAAGCUGGUUAUCAAAGUCUUUAGGUGUUAAUUUAGUUGAUAAAGUUGUUUGGUUACUACUUGAGGAUGUAG